This 577-nucleotide unclassified non-coding RNA is filed under the name Hevea brasiliensis (rubber tree). Lineage: Eukaryota; Viridiplantae; Streptophyta; Magnoliopsida; Malpighiales; Euphorbiaceae. The record is from RNAcentral.
GCUGCUAAGAUAACAGAGAGGAAAUCAGAAUUAGCAAAACUUGAAGCAAUAGACUGUGGAAAACCUCUGGAAGAAGCUGCAUGGGACAUGGAUGAUGUUGCUGGGUGCUUCGAGUACUAUGCAGAUCUUGCCGAAGGGUUGGAUGCAAAGCAAAAAGCUCCUGUUUCUCUUCCCAUGGAUACAUUCAAGAGCUAUGUUCUUAAAGAACCCAUUGGAGUUGUUGGGUUGAUUACUCCCUGGAACUAUCCUCUAUUGAUGUCUACAUGGAAAGUUGCACCUGCCUUGGCUGCUGGGUGUGCUGCAAUCCUGAAGCCAUCAGAACUGGCAUCUGUCACCUCUUUGGAAUUGGGCGAAAUCUGUAAAGAUGUUGGUCUUCCAUCUGGUGUUUUGAAUAUUCUGACAGGAUUUGGCCCUGAAGCUGGUGCUCCUCUAGCAUCUCAUCCUCACGUUGACAAGAUUGCAUUUACUGGGAGUGGUGCUACUGGAAGCAAGAUUAUGACAGCAGCUGCUCAACUUGUCAAGCCUGUUACCAUGGAACUUGGUGGAAAAAGUCCAAUUGUUGUUUUUGAUGAUGUCG